ACUUUGAUAGCUCAGUGGUCAAGUAUUUGACUGGUAAUCAGGAGGUCAGAGGUUCGAAUCCCAGCCAAGGCA
Molecule: transfer RNA, 72 nt
Filed under: Diaphorina citri (Asian citrus psyllid)
Lineage: Eukaryota; Metazoa; Arthropoda; Insecta; Hemiptera; Psyllidae
Rfam family: tRNA
About the family: Transfer RNA (tRNA) molecules are approximately 80 nucleotides in length. Their secondary structure includes four short double-helical elements and three loops (D, anti-codon, and T loops).
Source: Rfam by way of RNAcentral